GCUGGCGGCGUGCCUAAUACAUGCAAGUAGAACGCUUUAGAGAGGAGCUUGCUCUUCUUGGAUGAGUUGCGAACGGGUGAGUAACGCGUAGGUAACCUGCCUUGUAGCGGGGGAUAACUAUUGGAAACGAUAGCUAAUACCGCAUAACAAUGGAUGACACAUGUCAUUUAUUUGAAAGGGGCAAAUGCUCCACUACAAGAUGGACCUGCGUUGUAUUAGCUAGUAGGUGAGGUAACGGCUCACCUAGGCGACGAUACAUAGCCGACCUGAGAGGGUGAUCGGCCACACUGGGACUGAGACACGGCCCAGACUCCUACGGGAGGCAGCAGUAGGGAAUCUUCGGCAAUGGGGGCAACCCUGACCGAGCAACGCCGCGUGAGUGAAGAAGGUUUUCGGAUCGUAAAGCUCUGUUGUAAGUCAAGAACGAGUGUGAGAGUGGAAAGUUCACACUGUGACGGUAGCUUACCAGAAAGGGACGGCUAACUACGUGCCAGCAGCCGCGGUAAUACGUAGGUCCCGAGCGUUGUCCGGAUUUAUUGGGCGUAAAGCGAGCGCAGGCGGUUUGAUAAGUCUGAAGUUAAAGGCUGUGGCUCAACCAUAGUUCGCUUUGGAAACUGUCAAACUUGAGUGCAGAAGGGGAGAGUGGAAUUCCAUGUGUAGCGGUGAAAUGCGUAGAUAUAUGGAGGAACACCGGUGGCGAAAGCGGCUCUCUGGUCUGUAACUGACGCUGAGGCUCGAAAGCGUGGGGAGCGAACAGGAUUAGAUACCCUGGUAGUCCACGCCGUAAACGAUGAGUGCUAGGUGUUGGAUCCUUUCCGGGAUUCAGUGCCGCAGCUAACGCAUUAAGCACUCCGCCUGGGGAGUACGACCGCAAGGUUGAAACUCAAAGGAAUUGACGGGGGCCCGCACAAGCGGUGGAGCAUGUGGUUUAAUUCGAAGCAACGCGAAGAACCUUACCAGGUCUUGACAUCCCGAUGCUAUUUCUAGAGAUAGAAAGUUACUUCGGUACAUCGGUGACAGGUGGUGCAUGGUUGUCGUCAGCUCGUGUCGUGAGAUGUUGGGUUAAGUCCCGCAACGAGCGCAACCCCUAUUGUUAGUUGCCAUCAUUCAGUUGGGCACUCUAGCGAGACUGCCGGUAAUAAACCGGAGGAAGGUGGGGAUGACGUCAAAUCAUCAUGCCCCUUAUGACCUGGGCUACACACGUGCUACAAUGGUUGGUACAACGAGUUGCGAGUCGGUGACGGCAAGCUAAUCUCUUAAAGCCAAUCUCAGUUCGGAUUGUAGGUUGCAACUCGCCUACAUGAAGUCGGAAUCGCUAGUAAUCGCGGAUCAGCACGCCGCGGUGAAUACGUUCCCGGGCGUUGUACACACCGCCCGUCACACCACGAGAGUUUGUAACACCCGAAGUAAAAGGGGUACCCUUUUGGAG
Molecule: ribosomal RNA, 1429 nt
Filed under: uncultured organism
Description: 16S ribosomal RNA
Rfam family: Bacterial small subunit ribosomal RNA
Source: RNAcentral